RNAcentral lists this ribosomal RNA (393 nucleotides) under uncultured bacterium. RNAcentral describes it as "partial 16S ribosomal RNA". It matches the Rfam family "Bacterial small subunit ribosomal RNA", at positions 523 to 918 of the family's 1533-position model. The record is from RNAcentral.
AUACGGAGGAUCCGAGCGUUAUCCGGAUUUAUUGGGUUUAAAGGGAGCGUAGGUGGAUUGUUAAGUCAGUUGUGAAAGUUUGCGGCUCAACCGUAAAAUUGCAGUUGAAACUGGCAGUCUUGAGUAAAGUAGAGGUGGGCGGAAUUCGUGGUGUAGCGGGGCAAUGCUUAGAUAUCACGAAGAACUCCGAUUGCGAAGUCAGCUCACUAGACUGUUACUGACACUGAUGCUCGAAAGUGUGGGUAUCAAACAGGAUUAGAUACCCUGGUAGUCCACACAGUAAACGAUGAAUACUCGCUGUUUGCGAUAUACAGUAAGCGGCCAAGCGAAAGCAUUAAGUAUUCCACCUGGGGAGUACGCCGGCAACGGUGAAACUCAAAGGAAUUGGCGGGG